CCUACGGGAGGCAGCAGUGAGGAAUAUUGGUCAAUGGCCGGAAGGCUGAACCAGCCAAGCCGCGUGAAGGACGAAGCUGCCAAGCAUUGUAAACUUCUUUUGUCAAGGGACAAAAUCAGACUCUAAAGCCUGACCGAGGGUACUUGAAGAAAAAGCAUCGGCUAACUCCGUUCCAGCACCCGCGGUAAUACGGAGGAUGCGAUCGUUAUCCGGAUUUAUUGGGUUUAAAGGGUGCGUAGGCGGACUGUUAAGUCAGCGGUAAAAGCCCGGGGCUCAAACCCGGCGAGUGGUUGACACUGGCUGUCUUGAGAUGUCGAGAGGUAUGCGGAAUGCGCAGUGUAGCGGUGAAAUGCUUAGAUAUUGCGCAGAACUCCGAGUGCGAAGGCAGCAUACCGGCGGCGAUCUGACGCUGAGGCAAGAAAGCGUGGGUAUCGAACAGGAUUAGAUACCCUAGUAGUA
RNAcentral lists this ribosomal RNA (459 nucleotides) under uncultured bacterium. RNAcentral describes it as "partial 16S ribosomal RNA". It matches the Rfam family "Bacterial small subunit ribosomal RNA", at positions 338 to 795 of the family's 1533-position model. The record is from RNAcentral.